GCUCAAAGUUAGGUAGCAAUUCCACAAU
RNAcentral lists this non-coding RNA (28 nucleotides) under Mus musculus (house mouse). The record is from RNAcentral. Lineage: Eukaryota; Metazoa; Chordata; Mammalia; Rodentia; Muridae.